UGCAGUCGACGAUGAGCCUUUCGGGGUGGAUUAGUGGCGAACGGGUGAGUAACACGUGGGCAAUCUGCCCUUCACUCUGGGACAAGCCCUGGAAACGGGGUCUAAUACCGGAUAACACCUUCCACCGCAUGGUGGGGGGUUGAAAGCUCCGGCGGUGAAGGAUGAGCCCGCGGCCUAUCAGCUUGUUGGUGGGGUGAUGGCCUACCAAGGCGACGACGGGUAGCCGGCCUGAGAGGGCGACCGGCCACACUGGGACUGAGACACGGCCCAGACUCCUACGGGAGGCAGCAGUGGGGAAUAUUGCACAAUGGGCGAAAGCCUGAUGCAGCGACGCCGCGUGAGGGAUGACGGCCUUCGGGUUGUAAACCUCUUUCAGCAGGGAAGAAGCGAAAGUGACGGUACCUGCAGAAGAAGCGCCGGCUAACUACGUGCCAGCAGCCGCGGUAAUACGUAGGGCGCAAGCGUUGUCCGGAAUUAUUGGGCGUAAAGAGCUCGUAGGCGGCUUGUCGCGUCGGAUGUGAAAGCCCGGGGCUUAACCCCGGGUCUGCAUUCGAUACGGGCAGGCUAGAGUGUGGUAGGGGAGAUCGGAAUUCCUGGUGUAGCGGUGAAAUGCGCAGAUAUCAGGAGGAACACCGGUGGCGAAGGCGGAUCUCUGGGCCAUUACUGACGCUGAGGAGCGAAAGCGUGGGGAGCGAACAGGAUUAGAUACCCUGGUAGUCCACGCCGUAAACGUUGGGAACUAGGUGUUGGCGACAUUCCACGUCGUCGGUGCCGCAGCUAACGCAUUAAGUUCCCCGCCUGGGGAGUACGGCCGCAAGGCUAAAACUCAAAGGAUUUGACGGGGCCCGCACAAGCAGCGGAGCAUGUGGCUUAAUUCGACGCAACGCGAAGAACCUUACCAAGGCUUGACAUAUACCGGAAACAUCCAGA
RNAcentral lists this ribosomal RNA (930 nucleotides) under Streptomyces sp. RNAcentral describes it as "bacterial SSU rRNA". It matches the Rfam family "Bacterial small subunit ribosomal RNA", at positions 56 to 1004 of the family's 1533-position model. The record is from RNAcentral. Lineage: Bacteria; Bacillati; Actinomycetota; Actinomycetes; Kitasatosporales; Streptomycetaceae.